CCUCAUCUGUCCCCUUCCCCCAGAGACCACUCUUCUGCACUGCCUCACAUCCAAUGUCUUGAAAACUGACUUGGUUUUUUCAUAUAUUUUGUUCCUCUAGUUAUCUCGGGGGGAAGGUAAAUUCCAUCCCCAUUACUUUGCUUAUGUGGAAGCACAAGUGCAGAGCAAGGAUUCUGGAAGUCUGAGGACUGGAUUCGAGCCGUAGACCCUCUGGCUGUCAGCCACUGAGGAGACACAGUCAGAGGAGCUCUCCAGACCCCAGCGCAUAGUUAUUCUCACGGGUGUCAUAGGUCCAUGGUGGGCCCAUCCCUUCCUGCCCUUUGAGUCUCUCCACUCACCCCUGAGGGGUGCUUCCGACAGAAGGCUGUGAAGACUAUUUCCGAAGGACACACGGGGGAAAUGUCAUUCAGAAUAAAACUGCUCAUUCGAAAAUAAGGUGCCCCUUGCCGAGAUGAUGAGCAGCCUCGGUGGAAAGACUCUGUUAAGAGGAUGAGAAGACCUACCACAGACCGGGAGAAAAUACAGUAAAACCUUGGAUUGCAAGUAACUUGUUCUGCGAGUGUUCCGCAAGACGAGC
RNAcentral lists this long non-coding RNA (577 nucleotides) under Suricata suricatta (meerkat). RNAcentral describes it as "lncRNA (ENSSSUG00005002327.1)". The record is from RNAcentral. Lineage: Eukaryota; Metazoa; Chordata; Mammalia; Carnivora; Herpestidae.